UACAGAGGUCUCGAGCGUUAGGCGGAAUCACUGGGCUUAAAGCGUGUGUAGGUGGAUCGUUAAGUACCUUGUGAAAUCCCACGGCUUAACCGUGGAACUGCUUGGUAUACUGGCGGUCUUGAGCCAGCUAGGGGCUACCGGAACAAAUGGUGGAGCGGUGAAAUGCGUAGAUAUCAGGAGGAACACCGGUGGCGAAGGCGGGUCUCUGGGCCG
Molecule: ribosomal RNA, 213 nt
Filed under: uncultured prokaryote
Description: partial 16S ribosomal RNA
Rfam family: Bacterial small subunit ribosomal RNA
Source: RNAcentral